UCAGGAUGAACGCUAGCUACAGGCUUAACACAUGCAAGUCGAGGGGCAGCAUUGGGAUAGCUUGCUAUUCAGAUGGCGACCGGCGCACGGGUGAGUAACGCGUAUCCAACCUUCCUGCCAGUAGGGAACAGCCCGGCGAAAGUCGGAUUAAUGCCCUAUGUUCUUCAAUGCGGACAUCUAAGUUGAAGGAAAGAUUCAUCGCUGGCAGAUGGGGAUGCGUCCGAUUAGCUUGCCGGCGGGUAACGGCCCACCGGGGCGACGAUCGGUAGGGGUUCUGAGAGGAAGGUCCCCCACACUGGUACUGAGACACGGACCAGACUCCUACGGGAGGCAGCAGUGAGGAAUAUUGGUCAAUGGGCGUAAGCCUGAACCAGCCAAGUAGCGUGCAGGAUGACGGCCCUACGGGUUGUAAACUGCUUUUAUGCGGGGAUAAAGUGCGGCACGUGUGCCGCUUUGCAGGUACCGCAUGAAUAAGGACCGGCUAAUUCCGUGCCAGCAGCUGC
RNAcentral lists this ribosomal RNA (503 nucleotides) under uncultured bacterium. RNAcentral's name for it is "bacterial SSU rRNA". It matches the Rfam family "Bacterial small subunit ribosomal RNA", at positions 24 to 518 of the family's 1533-position model. The record is from RNAcentral.